UCCGUAGGUGGAUAAUUAAGUCAGAGGUGAAAUCCUGCAGCUCAACUGUAGAAUUGCCUUUGAUACUGGUUAUCUUGAGUCAUUAUGAAGUGGUUAGAAUGUGUAGUGUAGCGGUGAAAUGCAUAGAUAUUACAUAGAAUACCAAUUGCGAAGGCAGAUUACUAAUAAUAUAUUGACACCGAUGGACGAAAGCGUGGGGAGCGAACAGGAUUAGAUACCCUGGUAGUCC
RNAcentral lists this ribosomal RNA (229 nucleotides) under uncultured bacterium. Its description in RNAcentral is "partial 16S ribosomal RNA". It matches the Rfam family "Bacterial small subunit ribosomal RNA", at positions 568 to 796 of the family's 1533-position model. The record is from RNAcentral.